GAUGAACGCUAGCUACAGGCUUAACACAUGCAAGUCGAGGGACCGGCGCACGGGUGAGUAACACGUAUCCAACCUGCCCUUUACUCGGGGAUAGCCUUUCGAAAGAAAGAUUAAUACCCGAUAUAAAGGAUGGGAAUGCGUUCCAUUAGGUUGUUGGUGAGGUAACUGCCCACCAAGCCUUCGAUGGAUAGGGGUUCUGCGAGGAAGGUGCCCCACAGUUGAACUGAGACACGGUCCAAACUCCUACGGGAGGCAGCAGUGGGGAAGAUUGGUCAAUGGGCGUUAGCCUGAACCAGCAAAGUAGCGUGAAGGAUGAAGGGUUAUGGGUCGUAAACUUCUUUUAUAUAAAAAUAUGUAUUAUAUGAAUAAGGAUCGGCUAACUCCGUGCCAGCAGCCGCGGUAAUUC
This 406-nucleotide ribosomal RNA is filed under the name uncultured bacterium. Its description in RNAcentral is "partial 16S ribosomal RNA". It matches the Rfam family "Bacterial small subunit ribosomal RNA", at positions 28 to 526 of the family's 1533-position model. The record is from RNAcentral.